Diprion similis is the source of this 125-nucleotide long non-coding RNA. RefSeq lists it as uncharacterized. The record is from RefSeq and is a predicted model, not a curated record. NCBI's taxonomy places the organism in Eukaryota, Metazoa, Arthropoda, Insecta, Hymenoptera, Diprionidae. The transcript has 4 exons.
CACACGAUGUAUCGCAAAAAAUUACUACCGUGUAUAUCUGAUGUUGAUUGUUAGUAUUUUGAAGGUUAUUCACUAGCGUACAGUUAUCAAAAUUCAAAACACAAUUUCACAAUCUACGACGUGGU